UCUUAUCUAUCAUCCAACUAAGACUCGUUCUCUCUCUAUAUAUCUCUUCUCUUUCUCUCUCUACACAAAACCCAAACUUAAAACCAUUGGUUUCAUCCACGAACACUUAGAUUUGGCCAUUGUGCUAGUUGAAGAAAAGGAAGAAGAGGUUAAAAGCUUUAUUUUGAUCCAAAAAUCUUAGCAUUUGGGGCAUUUUGAGAUUUGGGGCAAAGCUAGGGUUUGGUCAUCUUGAGGUACGAAGACUUGGUUCAUGUUGUUCAUCAUUGCUUGGAUGAUUGUAGAUUUGAAGGUUUUAAUUCUUGUAAAGGUUGGCUUGAAAUGUCACUUAUAGCCUUAAUUGUCAAAAUGUGUAUUUUUUAUUCCAUUUAUGUAAUGUGAACAUAAGUACAUCAUUUAUAAUGUAUUUGACAUGUAUAAGAUGAGACCGGAGGCUAAUGACAUGUAUUUUGUAUCCUAUGUAAAUUUUGAAUUCAUGAAAUAAUAUGAGAAUAUUGAAAAAUGAUAA
This is a long non-coding RNA of Cornus florida, 505 nucleotides long. RefSeq lists it as uncharacterized. The transcript has 2 exons. NCBI's taxonomy places the organism in Eukaryota, Viridiplantae, Streptophyta, Magnoliopsida, Cornales, Cornaceae. The record is from RefSeq and is a predicted model, not a curated record.